This 505-nucleotide ribosomal RNA is filed under the name uncultured bacterium. Its description in RNAcentral is "partial 16S ribosomal RNA". It matches the Rfam family "Bacterial small subunit ribosomal RNA", at positions 28 to 507 of the family's 1533-position model. The record is from RNAcentral.
GACGAACGCUUUCUUCUUUCCUAAUACAUGCAAGUAGAACGCACAGUUUAUACCGUAGCUUGCUACACCAUAAACUGUGAGUUGCGAACGGGUGAGUAACGCGUAGGUAACCUGCCUGGUAGCGGGGGAUAACUAUUGGAAACGAUAGCUAAUACCGCAUAAUAUUAAUUAUUGCAUGAUAAUUGAUUGAAAGAUGCAAUUGCAUCACUACCAGAUGGACCUGCGUUGUAUUAGCUAGUAGGUGAGGUAACGUCUCACCUAGGCGACGAUACAUAGCCGACCUGAGAGGGUGAGCGGCCACACUGGGACUGAGACACGGCCCAGACUCCUACGGGAGGCAGCAGUAGGGAAUCUUCGGCAAUGGACGAAAGUCUGACCGAGCAACGCCGCGUGAGUGAAGAAGGUUUUCGGAUCGUAAAGCUCUGUUGUAAGAGAAGAACGGGUGUGAGAGUGGAAAGUUCACACUGUGACGGUAUCUUACCAGAAAGGGAAGGCUAACUACGUG